This 253-nucleotide ribosomal RNA is filed under the name uncultured bacterium. RNAcentral's name for it is "partial 16S ribosomal RNA". It matches the Rfam family "Bacterial small subunit ribosomal RNA", at positions 524 to 776 of the family's 1533-position model. The record is from RNAcentral.
UACGUAGGUGACAAGCGUUGUCCGGAUUUACUGGGCGUAAAGAGCGCGCAGGCGGUCGUUCAAGUCGAGUGUGAAAGCCCCCGGCUCAACUGGGGAGGGUCAUUCGAUACUGAUCGACUCGAAGGCAGGAGAGGGUAGUGGAAUUCCCGGUGUAGUGGUGAAAUUCGUAGAUAUUGGGAAGAACACCGGUGGCGAAGGCGGCUCUCUGGACCGAUACUGACGCUGAGGCGCGAAAGCGUGGGGAGCAAACAGG